Ipomoea triloba (trilobed morning glory) is the source of this 585-nucleotide long non-coding RNA. RefSeq lists it as uncharacterized. The transcript has 3 exons. Lineage: Eukaryota; Viridiplantae; Streptophyta; Magnoliopsida; Solanales; Convolvulaceae. The record is from RefSeq and is a predicted model, not a curated record.
CUACCACUCUUAGCCGACGUCGUAUCGCCCGAUUUAAAAUAUUCCAUUCUCCCUCUGUAGCUCCCCAAAAUUUCGCCAAUACUCCGUAAAACAAAACCCUACCUCCCAAAUCAGACCUCAGAUCCGCUCCUCUCUCUCACUCCCUUACUCUCCGAUCUCUUCUCACCCUCUCACUCAGACGACGCCAACCUCCACCACACUCCCUUCGAACUCUCUCAGAUGUAGCUCCACCACGAACCUCCUCCACCGCCGACCCCACCGCUGAUUGCCUCGUCUUUUCUUCCGAUCCGACGCCACCAUCGACGCUGCACUGCCACCGCCUCUCCUACGAAGACGCCAACGCUGCCACCGCUCUUCCUGCGAAGACGCCAACGCUGCCAGACUCCUGGACGUGAGUUUUUGCUUCGGGUUUCCUAUCUUGAGAUCUACAAUGAGGUGAUCAAUGACUUGCUUGACCCCACUGGCCAGAAUUUGCGUGUUAGAGAAGAUGCACAGGUUUUUGCUGUAACCUAUUGUAUUUCUUUUUGGAGCAUUUUCCAGUAUUUUAUUUCAAUCUUCUUUUCAUUCCUUUGCCUAUAUAUUCUU